RNAcentral lists this ribosomal RNA (484 nucleotides) under uncultured bacterium. RNAcentral's name for it is "partial 16S ribosomal RNA". It matches the Rfam family "Bacterial small subunit ribosomal RNA", at positions 30 to 507 of the family's 1533-position model. The record is from RNAcentral.
AUUGAACGCUGGCGGCAGGCCUAACACAUGCAAGUCGAGCGGAUGAAGGGAGCUUGCUGCUGGAUUCAUCGGCGGACGGGUGAGUAAUGCCUAGGAAUGUGCCUGGGAGUGGGGGAUAACGUCCGGAAACGGGCGCUAAUACCGCAUACGUCCUGAGGGAGAAAGUGGGGGAUCUUCGGACCUCACGCUAUCGGAUGAGCCUAGGUCGGAUUAGCUAGUUGGUGGGGUAAAGGCCUACCAAGGCGACGAUCCGUAACUGGUCUGAGAGGAUGAUCAGUCACACUGGAACUGAGACACGGUCCAGACUCCUACGGGAGGCAGCAGUGGGGAAUAUUGGACAAUGGGCGAAAGCCUGAUGCAGCCAUGCCGCGUGUGUGAAGAAGGUCUUCGGAUUGUAAAGCACUUUAAGUUGGGAGGAAGGGAAGUAAGUUAAUACCUUGCUGUUUUGACGUUACCCACAGAAUAAGCACCGGCUAACUUCGUG